Molecule: transfer RNA, 76 nt
Filed under: Oscillospiraceae bacterium
Lineage: Bacteria; Bacillati; Bacillota; Clostridia; Eubacteriales; Oscillospiraceae
Description: tRNA-Lys
Rfam family: tRNA
About the family: Transfer RNA (tRNA) molecules are approximately 80 nucleotides in length. Their secondary structure includes four short double-helical elements and three loops (D, anti-codon, and T loops).
Source: RNAcentral
GCACCUUUAGCUCAGUUGGUUGAGCAUCUGACUCUUAAUCAGUGGGUCCCCGGUUCGAGUCCGUGAAGGUGCACCA